ACGUGGAAACAUUCUCCAAGGUGGACAUCUUCAACUUGGACGGGAACGCAAACGAAAUAAUGCACGAAUUCGACUGCAAUCUGAUCAAAAGCGGCGGCUGCGAACAUUGGCGCAAGGAAAAUCUCAGAAUGAAGCCAAACAAUCACGAAAAAUACCCUCCAAUCACCGACUUUCGCUGGCACGACAUUCCGGUUAUUUUUUUAAAUGCCGGGAGGAAUUUCUGGAUGGAGAAUUUCUUGAGGAACACGGCGCUGCACGCACACUUCUCCAUCCUGACAAACUCGAAUUUUUAUUUCCUGAUUGAUCCGGAUUACUUACAGAUGUCAACCUUCCGAAGACGUUAUAAAGAACCAACACCUGACGACCCGAAUGGCCGAUUCUUUUGGCACGAUCGCCAGGACGUUAUCAAAACAAAAGAAAUAAACUUAAAAAACAGUGGAAAGAAAUGGGAAUUGGUUUCGUUGAGGUUCUCAGAAGACGAUCCGUUGGGAAAUGAGGUUAAAAUUAAUAGCGGUGAGAUA
Long non-coding RNA from Cloeon dipterum, 521 nucleotides. RefSeq lists it as uncharacterized. The record is from RefSeq and is a predicted model, not a curated record. The transcript is spliced from 3 exons. NCBI's taxonomy places the organism in Eukaryota, Metazoa, Arthropoda, Insecta, Ephemeroptera, Baetidae.